GGACUCGGCAAUGGAAACAAUCUGGGGUCUCAGCAAGGCUUUGGAGGAGUUGGAAAACCCCAGAAACCAGGACUUGGGGAUGGAAAUAGGCUGGGAGCUGGGGCCUUCCCAGGAACUGGAGUCCAGUCAGGCCUUGGAGAAGGACUAAAACCCCAGAAGCCAGGUCCUGCACCCCAGAAUGGAUAUGGACCAGACUAUGGAGGUGUGAAGUCCCAGAAGCCAGGAUUCAGGAAUGGGAAUGGACUUGGCCUGGGAGCCCAGUCAGGU
Molecule: long non-coding RNA, 267 nt
Organism: Mesocricetus auratus (golden hamster)
Lineage: Eukaryota; Metazoa; Chordata; Mammalia; Rodentia; Cricetidae
Exons: 7
Source: RefSeq, a predicted model, not a curated record